GGAGAGUUACGAGUUGGUAUCAGA
Molecule: non-coding RNA, 24 nt
Filed under: Arabidopsis thaliana (thale cress)
Lineage: Eukaryota; Viridiplantae; Streptophyta; Magnoliopsida; Brassicales; Brassicaceae
Source: RNAcentral